RNAcentral lists this ribosomal RNA (468 nucleotides) under uncultured bacterium. Its description in RNAcentral is "partial 16S ribosomal RNA". It matches the Rfam family "Bacterial small subunit ribosomal RNA", at positions 28 to 507 of the family's 1533-position model. The record is from RNAcentral.
GACGAACGCUGGCGGCGUGCUUAACACAUGCAAGUCGAACGGAAAGGCCCUGCUUUUGUGGGGUGCUCGAGUGGCGAACGGGUGAGUAACACGUGAGUAACCUGCCCUUGACUUUGGGAUAACUUCAGGAAACUGGGGCUAAUACCGGAUAGGAGCUCCUGCUGCAUGGUGGGGGUUGGAAAGUUUCGGCGGUUGGGGAUGGACUCGCGGCUUAUCAGCUUGUUGGUGGGGUAGUGGCUUACCAAGGCUUUGACGGGUAGCCGGCCUGAGAGGGUGACCGGCCACAUUGGGACUGAGAUACGGCCCAGACUCCUACGGGAGGCAGCAGCGGGGAAUAUUGCACAAUGGGCGGAAGCCUGAUGCAGCAACGCCGCGUGCGGGAUGACGGCCUUCGGGUUGUAAACCGCUUUCGCCUGUGACGAAGCGUGAGUGACGGUAAUGGGUAAAGAAGCACCAGCUAACUACGUG